UUGAACGCUGGCGGCGGCUUAACACAUGCAAGUCGAGCGGAGCGGCGGACGGGUGAGUAACGCGUGAGCAACCUGCCUAUGACAGUGGGAUAGCCUCGGGAAACCGGGAUUAAUACCGCAUAGUCAUAGAUGGGCUCGCGUCUGAUUAGCUAGUUGGUGAGAUAACAGCCCACCAAGGCGACGAUCAGUAGCCGGUCUGAGAGGAUGAACGGCCACAUUGGAACUGAGACACGGUCCAAACUCCUACGGGAGGCAGCAGUGGGGAAUAUUGCACAAUGGGGGAAACCCUGAUGCAGCGACGCCGCGUGAACGAAGAAGGUAUUCGUAUCGUAAAGUUCUGUCCUAUGGGAAGCAGUACCAUAGAAGAAAGCUCCGGCUAAAUACGUGCCAGCAGCCGCGGUAAUUC
This 406-nucleotide ribosomal RNA is filed under the name uncultured bacterium. Its description in RNAcentral is "partial 16S ribosomal RNA". It matches the Rfam family "Bacterial small subunit ribosomal RNA", at positions 30 to 526 of the family's 1533-position model. The record is from RNAcentral.